CCUACGGGAGGCAGCAGUGGGGAAUUUUGGACAAUGGGGGAAACCCUGAUCCAGCAAUGCCGCGUGAGUGAAGAAGGCCUUCGGGUUGUAAAGCUCUUUUGUCAGGGAAGAAACACCGGCUCUAACACAGUCCGGGAAUGACGGUACCUGAAGAAUAAGCACCGGCUAACUACGUGCCAGCAGCCGCGGUAAUACGUAGGGUGCAAGCGUUAAUCGGAAUUACUGGGCGUAAAGCGUGCGCAGGCGGUUAUACAAGACAGGCGUGAAAUCCCCGGGCUUAACCUGGGAAUGGCGCCUGUGACUGUAUAGCUAGAGUGUGUCAGAGGGGGGUAGAAUUCCACGUGUAGCAGUGAAAUGCGUAGAUAUGUGGAGGAAUACCAAUGGCGAAGGCAGCCCCCUGGGAUAACACUGACGCUCAUGCACGAAAGCGUGGGGAGCAAACAGGAUUAGAUACCCUGGUAGUCCACGCCCUAAACGAUGCUGACUAGUUGUUCGGGAUUUACAUCCUGAGUAACGUAGCUAACGCGUGAAGUCAGCCGCCUGGGGAGUACGGUCGCAAGAUUAAAACCUCAAAUGAAUUGACGG
This 585-nucleotide ribosomal RNA is filed under the name uncultured bacterium. RNAcentral's name for it is "bacterial SSU rRNA". It matches the Rfam family "Bacterial small subunit ribosomal RNA", at positions 338 to 916 of the family's 1533-position model. The record is from RNAcentral.